UUUGGUGUGUAUGUAGAUGUAGAUAAGGAAGUGUUUUGGUGUCUAUGUAGAUGUAGAUAAGGAAGUGCAAAAUAUAUAAUAAUAGUAAUACUAAAUUAUAGAAAAUCUUCAUAUAAAUAAUUUUUUUUUUUUACUUUACCUAAUCGAAUUUUAAAAAUCUAUAUUUUGACUCUUUCAAAUUUCAAAAAAUAAUUCAGAGGGGUACGGACAAAAUGACCAAAUUAACCAUACUUCUUCAAUAAAAAAUAAUUUUAUAAUUUAUUUCUGUCAUUUUGAAGAAUAUUUUCGGUAUAAAUUAUAAGAAAUAAAGGAAAUAGUGAGCGAACAUUGAUGGAGAGGGAUUAAAUGAAACAAUUUGAAAUGUUAAGUAAGUAAAUUAUAGAUUUUUUAAAAUUAGGGAGAGAUUUUGGCCCGCAAAUUUGAUUUACAUACUUUGGAAUAGGCCCAUGGUAUAUUUAUUUAUUUAUUUAUGUAUAUGAUUUGGGAGAUAAG
RNAcentral lists this long non-coding RNA (492 nucleotides) under Ananas comosus (pineapple). RNAcentral describes it as "long non-coding RNA (ACOM_LNC009453)". The record is from RNAcentral. Lineage: Eukaryota; Viridiplantae; Streptophyta; Magnoliopsida; Poales; Bromeliaceae.